Molecule: non-coding RNA, 107 nt
Organism: Gossypium hirsutum (cotton)
Lineage: Eukaryota; Viridiplantae; Streptophyta; Magnoliopsida; Malvales; Malvaceae
Source: Rfam
AAUCUGUGGUGCGGGCAUUUUUGAAUCUACAUUUUGAACCGUUCCCAUGCCUCAUAGAAACUUUCUCCCUCCAUCUUUCUAAAAACAAAAAUCUCUCUUCUUAGUUG